UACGAGGAGCCCAAGCGUUAUCCGGAUUUACUGGGCGUAAAGGGUGUGUAGGGGGUUUUGUUAGUCUCCUGUUAAAGCCUUCGGCUUAACCGAAGAAAUGUGGGAGAAACGGCAAAACUUUGGAGGAUGCCAGAGGCAAGCGGAACUCACGGUGUAGGGGUGAAAUCCGUUGAUAUCGUGGGGAACACCAAAGGCGAAGGCAGCUUGCUGGGGCAUUCCUGACCCUGAAACACGAAAGCGUGGGGAUCAA
RNAcentral lists this ribosomal RNA (250 nucleotides) under uncultured bacterium. RNAcentral describes it as "partial 16S ribosomal RNA". It matches the Rfam family "Bacterial small subunit ribosomal RNA", at positions 524 to 771 of the family's 1533-position model. The record is from RNAcentral.